This 72-nucleotide transfer RNA is filed under the name Camelus bactrianus (Bactrian camel). It matches the Rfam family "tRNA". From Rfam's summary of the family: Transfer RNA (tRNA) molecules are approximately 80 nucleotides in length. Their secondary structure includes four short double-helical elements and three loops (D, anti-codon, and T loops). RNAcentral also lists the same sequence under 2 other names. The record is from Rfam by way of RNAcentral. Lineage: Eukaryota; Metazoa; Chordata; Mammalia; Artiodactyla; Camelidae.
GAGGGUAUAGCUCAGUGGUAGAGCACAUGCUUAGCAUGCAUGAGGUCCUGGGUUCGAUUCCCAGUACUUCCA